This 309-nucleotide unclassified non-coding RNA is filed under the name plant metagenome. RNAcentral's name for it is "partial contains 5.8S ribosomal RNA, internal transcribed spacer 2, and large subunit ribosomal RNA". The stretch from base 1 to 105 matches the Rfam family "5.8S ribosomal RNA", at positions 50 to 154 of the family's 154-position model. The record is from RNAcentral.
GAAACGCGAAAGGUAAUGCGAAUUGCAGAAUUCAGUGAAUCAUCGAAUCUUUGAACGCACAUUGCGCCCCUUGGUAUUCCAUGGGGCAUGCCUGUUCGAGCGUCAUUUGUACCCUCAAGCUCUGCUUGGUGUUGGGUGUUUGUCCCGUCUCCGCGCGUGGACUCGCCCCAAAGUGAUUGGCAGCCGGCGUACUGGUCCCGGAGCGCAGCACAUGUCGCGCAAACGAGUGCCUUGGUACGGCGGCGUCCAUAAGCCCCUCUCUCACGCUCUUGACCUCGGAUCAGGUAGGGAUACCCGCUGAACUUAAGC